Mesocricetus auratus (golden hamster) is the source of this 1113-nucleotide long non-coding RNA. RefSeq lists it as uncharacterized. The record is from RefSeq and is a predicted model, not a curated record. The transcript is spliced from 3 exons. NCBI's taxonomy places the organism in Eukaryota, Metazoa, Chordata, Mammalia, Rodentia, Cricetidae.
CUGCCUGCAGGCUUGCGCUCCAAGCUGUGUCAGCAAACCUGAGACUCAUCACUAAAGCACUUCGGGAGCCAGGCUGUACCCUGAGGUGCUGCCUGGGAUGUGGGGGCACUGUCAACUUUAAGCGGUGCUGUCCGUGGCCCGGUUGGGAGAAAUGGUUAAUUACUGCCUAGGAACGGGGGCUUGGCACCACUUGGGGACGGCACUGCAAGGCCAGGGAUGCGCUGGCAGGCAUUUGCCACUUGAGCUGCCUCGGGGCGCUGAGGAGGCUGGACUUCCUUCAAAACAAGCUUGCUUAAAGGCCACAGUGCUCAGGAAACAGAUCUCUCUUUCAAGUGAAGCGGAGCCGGGAGAGCACAUGGAGGCCCCCCUUCUCCAGGGCAAAGCCAGCCAUGCGGAGGCAGUGACCAAUCUCCUGGCCACCCACCCCCCCCCCGACAUGCGCACCGAGGGGGAAGCUACAGCAAUCGCCUACAGGACUGAGGACAUGUAAUGGGAACCAGAAGCCCAUCUGGUGGGACCAGGCAGGCACAGAGGGGCACGGUGUCUCAAUCUCCCUUCAGGGAUGCACCAUAAACCAGGAGGGCUGCUCAGACUUCACAGAUGCUCCCAAGCUGUGCACACCAGGGAGCCAGGCCAGCAUCACCCAGCACAUCCUUUGUGGAUUCCCGGAAAGCUAAGCCAGGCAGAUUGUCUUUUCCCUGUGCCAGGGGGGGCUGCACAGCUCCCGGACUGGCCGGGGUCUGCAUGCCUGGGCCUCAGGGGCUGGUGGAGAUGUCUCCAGGCCCCUCGAACGACCGAGGACACUCGCUCUGGGGACCUCUGCCAGGGCCAGGGCCAGAGGCUGACAUCUGAUUAUGGUUCUCGAAAUCAGACACGAGGUCAGACAUGAGCAGAGCUGAGUGACCUCUGGAGCAGGGGUCAGGACUGGCCUCCCUGCAGGCCAUAUGUACUCAUAGCAAACCCCCUUCAUCCCACACUGGGCAGGGUCUGUGCCCAAUCCUUCAGGCCCCAGUAGUCCUGCCCCAUGGCCCAUCCUGCAAUUCCCAAGAUCUCACGUGGGUCCCUGACCACUUCCAAAUUAAACACAAGUGACUACAGUUGGAUGACAUUCUA